UCCCAGCUGGCUCAGUGGUAAAGAAUCUGCCUGUAAUGCAGGAGACGUGGAUUCGAUCCCUGGGUUGGGAA
This 71-nucleotide transfer RNA is filed under the name Capra hircus (goat). It matches the Rfam family "tRNA". Rfam says of the family: Transfer RNA (tRNA) molecules are approximately 80 nucleotides in length. Their secondary structure includes four short double-helical elements and three loops (D, anti-codon, and T loops). RNAcentral also lists the same sequence under 1 other name. Lineage: Eukaryota; Metazoa; Chordata; Mammalia; Artiodactyla; Bovidae. The record is from Rfam by way of RNAcentral.